GCAAACGGUAUUGUAUGAUAUGGUGGAAGAGGCAUGAAUCUCUUGCAAGUCUCAGAUAUGGGUUUCUGCCAUAUCUCUGAGGAAAACUUUUGGAUUGUAGGAGGUUGAUCUGAUGGGAGGUGGGAAUAAAAAGAGCACAGCAAAGUGAGAAGCUUUGUUCUUAGGAUGAUUUAGUCCAUAACUACUUUGCUUUCUUUACAAAAUUUCGUUGUUUUGUAUUCCAUAAACGUUUUUGUAUCCCCUUCCGGUCUUGGAAGGAAGAAGAGAAAAUACACUUCUAAAUAAAUGGGUUCAAAUAAUGUAUGCCAUUUAUAUCCAAAUGGAUCGAACAUUGGCAAAUGCUAACAUAGAUGAUAUAGAAAGUCUGUUAGGAAAUAUUUUGGACCAAAAGUCUUGCAUGCCCAAGUCAAUUGAAAGAAACAUCCAAUGAUCAAGCCAUUUUAGCCUUGUUUGGCUUGAGGCUUAGAAACUGCAGUAGUUUUUCUUAUUUCUGUAAAUUUGAUAUAAAAACGCGGUAUAGUAUUGACUUGUAGGAAUAUCGGUCAAGAUAAAAAAUUAUAAUGGGCAUGGUGUACAACCCAAUUGCUUGUACAACGAACAAGACUAAACUCAACUCUUCUAAAAGAGGAUGCUUCAAACCUUUAUGUCUCCCAAAAUAACUUACUACAUAGGAGCCAAAGCAUUUUCUAGAAAACUUCCUGACUAAAUCCGGAAUAUGAAGUCCUUGAAGGUGUUGUCUUCCUCUCAAUACAAAUUCCAGUGAUCCAUUCCUAUGUCUAACAGGAACCUUACACGAUCACUUGGCUACGAUUCGCAGACAAUAAAUUGCAUGGUAUAUAUGCUCCCAUCAUCAUUGUCAAAACUGAAAAAUCUGAUUAGUUUUAUUCUGGGCUUUUUAUGAGGUACAGAAAAUUGCACCUUAAUUCCCAUUAAGGUAUAACACUUUUUCUAAUUACCACCAAAUCUAGGCAUGUGCUGAGAAUGUCAGAGAACAAAUUACCACUAACGGGGGCAAACGGGCUUCAAGACCGUCUGGGUUUAAGCAGAGUCAGGACCCAAGUUAUUUUGGGUUCAGCAAGAACAAUCUUCAAGAUUCACGGGUUUCAAGGAGAGACAGGACUCAAGAUUCUUUGGAAACAAAAAA
Molecule: long non-coding RNA, 1144 nt
Organism: Rhododendron vialii
Lineage: Eukaryota; Viridiplantae; Streptophyta; Magnoliopsida; Ericales; Ericaceae
Exons: 3
Source: RefSeq, a predicted model, not a curated record